This 253-nucleotide ribosomal RNA is filed under the name uncultured bacterium. RNAcentral describes it as "partial 16S ribosomal RNA". It matches the Rfam family "Bacterial small subunit ribosomal RNA", at positions 524 to 776 of the family's 1533-position model. The record is from RNAcentral.
UACGGGGGGAGCAAACGUUGUUCGGAAUCACUGGGCGUAAAGAGCGUGUAGGCGGCUAUUUAAGUCCUGCGUGAAAUCCUGCGGCUCAACCGCAGACGGUCGUGGGAAACUGGAUGGCUAGAGUGCGGGAGAGGAGAGUGGAAUUCCCGGUGUAGCGGUGAAAUGCGCAGAUAUCGGGAAGAACACCCGUGGCGAAGGCGGCUCUCUGGAACGCAACUGACGCUGAGACGCGAAAGCGUGGGGAGCAAACAGG